Molecule: ribosomal RNA, 547 nt
Filed under: Pichia kluyveri
Lineage: Eukaryota; Fungi; Ascomycota; Pichiomycetes; Pichiales; Pichiaceae
Description: eukaryotic LSU rRNA
Rfam family: Eukaryotic large subunit ribosomal RNA
Source: RNAcentral
UAGCGGAGGAAAAGAAACCAACAGGGAUUGCCUCAGUAGCGGCGAGUGAAGCGGCAAGAGCUCAGAUUUGAAAUCUCACCUAGUGUGCGAGUUGUAAAUUGCAGGUUGGAGUCUCGGGUUAGACGUGUGUGCAAGUCCCUUGGAACAGGGCGCCACUGAGGGUGAGAGCCCCGUAGCGUSCAUGUCGACACCUGUGAGGCCCUUCUGACGAGUCGAGUUGUURGGGAAUGCAGCUCUAAGUGGGUGGUAAAUUCCAUCUAAGGCUAAAUAUUGGCGAGAGACCGAUAGCGAACAAGUACUGUGAAGGAAAGAUGAAAAGCACUUUGAAAAGAGAGUGAAACAGCACGUGAAAUUGUUGAAAGGGAAGGGUAUUGGGCUCGACAUGGGAUUUACGCAUCGUUGCCUCURGUGGGCGGCGCUCUGGGUUUUUCCUGGGCCAGCAUCGGUUUUCGUUGCAGGAUAAGGACAAUUGGAAUGUGGCUCCUCGGAGUGUUAUAGCCUUUUGUAGAUGCUGCGUAUGGGGACCGAGGGCUGCGGCGGACUUGUU